CUCCCGCCGGCGACCGGCGCACGGGUGAGUAACACGUAUGAAACCUGCCCGUAGCAGGGGGAUAAGCGGAAGAAAUUCCGUCUAAUACCGCGUAACAACCCAUGGAGGCAUCUCUGUGGGUUUAAAGGAAGCGAUUCCGGCUACGGAUGGUCAUGCGUCGCAUUAGCUUGUUGGCGGGGUAACGGCCCACCAAGGCGACGAUGCGUAGGGGUUCCGAGAGGAAGGUCCCCCACACUGGUACUGAGACACGGACCAGACUCCUACGGAAGGCAGCAG
Molecule: ribosomal RNA, 276 nt
Filed under: uncultured bacterium
Lineage: Bacteria
Description: partial 16S ribosomal RNA
Rfam family: Bacterial small subunit ribosomal RNA
Source: RNAcentral